RNAcentral lists this ribosomal RNA (460 nucleotides) under uncultured bacterium. RNAcentral's name for it is "partial 16S ribosomal RNA". It matches the Rfam family "Bacterial small subunit ribosomal RNA", at positions 338 to 795 of the family's 1533-position model. The record is from RNAcentral.
GCUACGGGAGGCUGCAGUGAGGAAUAUUGGUCAAUGGACGAGAGUCUGAACCAGCCAAGUAGCGUGAAGGAUGACUGCCCUAUGGGUUGUAAACUUCUUUUAUAAAGGAAUAAAACGAGGCACGUGUGCCUUUUUGCAUGUACUUUAUGAAUAAGGAUCGGAUAACUCCGUGCCAGCAGCCGCGGCAAUACGGGGGAGCCGAGCGUUAUCCGGAUUUAGUGGGGUUGAAGGGAGCGUAGAUGGGGUGUUAAGUCAGUUGUGAAAGUUUGCGGGUCAACCGUAAAAUUGCAAUUGAUACUGGCAGUCUUGAGUACAGUUGAGGGAGGCGGAAUUCGUGGUGUAGCGGUGAAAUGCUUAGAGAUCACGAAGAACCCCGAUUGCGAAGGCAGCUUACUAAACUGUGACUGACAUUGAUGCUCGAAAGUGUGGGUAUCAAACAGGAUUAGAUACCCUUGUAGUC